This 464-nucleotide ribosomal RNA is filed under the name uncultured bacterium. RNAcentral describes it as "bacterial SSU rRNA". It matches the Rfam family "Bacterial small subunit ribosomal RNA", at positions 28 to 490 of the family's 1533-position model. The record is from RNAcentral.
GAUGAACGCUGGCGGCGUGCUUAAUACAUGCAAGUCGAACGAAGCACCUUGGACAGAAUCCUUCGGGAGGAAGACCAUUGUGACUGAGUGGCGGACGGGUGAGUAACGCGUGGGUAACCUGCCUUGUACAGGGGGAUAACAGUUGGAAACGACUGCUAAUACCGCAUAAGCGCACAGUACCGCAUGGUACGGUGUGAAAAACUCCGGUGGUACAAGAUGGACCCGCGUCUGAUUAGCUAGUUGGUGAGGUAACGGCCCACCAAGGCGACGAUCAGUAGCCGACUUGAGAGAGUGAUCGGCCACAUUGGGACUGAGACACGGCCCAAACUCCUACGGGAGGCAGCAGUAGGGAAUAUUGCACAAUGGGGGAAACCCUGAUGCAGCGACGCCGCGUGAAGGAAGAAGUAUUUCGGUAUGUAAACUUCUAUCAGCAAGGAAGAAAAUGACGGUACUUGACUAAGAAG